ACCCAAAUCAAGAGUUGGGUGCUUUGGGGCGCCUGGGUGGCGCAGUCGGUUAAGCGUCCGACUUCAGCCAGGUCACGAUCUCGCGGUCCAGGAGUUCGAGCCCCACGUCGGGCUCUGGGCUGAUGGCUCAGAGCCUGGAGCCUGUUUCCGAUUUUGUGUCUCCCUCUCUCUCUGCCCCUCCCCUGUUCAUGCUCUGUCUCUCUCUGUCCCCAAAAUAAAUAAACGUUGAAAAAAAAAUUUAAGAGUUGGGUGCUUAACCGACUGAGCCACCCAGGCACCCCGACAAUAAACUUUUUGAAAAUACGGACGAGAAGUCUUCUAUGGAAAACCAUGUCGUAAAUAAUAAACUCUUGAAAAGAAAGUGUCCAUGAACUUAAGGGUGUGUGUAAUAUUGUCUCCCUGAAUCUUAAGGCAUCAGGAAGUAGGUUUUUAAAUUUGGAAAAAUGUAUGCACCAUAGCAGCUUGUGCUGCAUCAGAGGAUAAGCCUCAGUGCUUGGCUCUGCUCUAUUUUUAUUUCCAUUAUGGGUUGAGGAACCAGGACUGUGUAGGUAAAGAGUUGGCUUCCCCUUGGACCAUGCCGGAAGCAAUGGGUGCGGGAUGGGCGGGGGUGAAGAGAGGUGCCGGGAAGGCAGUGGGAGUCUUGGGAAGGAACCAAGACCUUGCCUUCCCUCCUUUCCACUCCUGACACUGUCCUUUACGAUCACAGCCCCCCCCAGCAAAACGCAGAAGCGAGAGGAAACCCUGAAGACCCACGGUGGGUGCGGAAUUCUUGUGGGGGAGGGGAUCGCUCCUGCUUUUGCCGCAAAGGACAGGAGUGGCCAUCAUCUCAAAGAGACCGGGUGAGAAGGUGGCAGGUGCUGAAUGGAAACACCAACAGACAGAAUUGGAGAGGAGCACUUGGUAGGACGCUUCCUAAAAACCCUGCUUUGCCUCAUCGGUAUGCUGUUCCGGAACAGUUCUGCCUGACGCGGUGCUCCCGCAGGAUGCUCUCCAGGAACAUUCCGGUUAGCCUACCUCAGAAGAGUAACAGCCUGUGCGUGAACCCGUUACCCUCAAGACUUUGCUCUUCUUUCCACAAUACCUUUUGGUGGCCAGUCGACUUCUUCGACUUCCUGUUAGCUUUUCCAAUGGUUGGUUCGGAAACUCAAGUGAUUCUAGCCUUGGCUAUGUGGUCUCAGGAUUCGCACAACUAGUUUUCCUCGUUAUGAAU
Molecule: long non-coding RNA, 1210 nt
Filed under: Felis catus (domestic cat)
Lineage: Eukaryota; Metazoa; Chordata; Mammalia; Carnivora; Felidae
Description: lncRNA (ENSFCAG00000049760.1)
Source: RNAcentral